GACGAACGCUGGCGGCGUGCUUAACACAUGCAAGUCGAACGGGAUUUAGUAGACAGAAGCCUCGGCUAAAGAUUACUAAUGAGAGUGGCGAACGGGUGAGUAACGCGUGAGCAACCUGCCUAUGACAGUGGGAUAGCCUCGGGAAACCGGGAUUAAUACCGCAUAAAAUCGUAGAAACACAUGUUUUAACGGUCAAAGAUUUAUCGGUCAUAGAUGGGCUCGCGUCUGAUUAGCUAGUUGGUGAGAUAACAGCCCACCAAGGCGACGAUCAGUAGCCGGUCUGAGAGGAUGAACGGCCACAUUGGAACUGGGACACGGUCCAAACUCCUACGGGAGGCAGCAGUGGGGAAUAUUGCACAAUGGGGGAAACCCUGAUGCAGCGACGCCGCGUGAACGAAGAAGGUAUUCGCAUCGUAAAGUUCUGUCCUAUGGGAAGAUAAUGACAGUACCAUAGAAGAAAGCUCCGGCUAAAUACGUG
RNAcentral lists this ribosomal RNA (478 nucleotides) under uncultured bacterium. RNAcentral's name for it is "partial 16S ribosomal RNA". It matches the Rfam family "Bacterial small subunit ribosomal RNA", at positions 28 to 507 of the family's 1533-position model. The record is from RNAcentral.